Long non-coding RNA from Xiphophorus hellerii (green swordtail), 390 nucleotides. RefSeq lists it as uncharacterized. The transcript has 4 exons. NCBI's taxonomy places the organism in Eukaryota, Metazoa, Chordata, Actinopteri, Cyprinodontiformes, Poeciliidae. The record is from RefSeq and is a predicted model, not a curated record.
CUCUCCCGAGCCAAACAGAAAACUGGAUGAAGAAACCAUGUGGCGGGACAAGAAGAUAAACAAUUUGGAGAGGGAGUUGUCCUUGUGCUACCACUCAUUGAAAAAGGAGAAAGAAAUCGUUGAGUGCAUAAGAGUGGAAAACGAGCGUCUGCUUGGCGAGAGGAGGAAGCUGUUACAGCAGCUCAGUGAGGAGGAUGACAACAUGAAAAACUCAAAUUAACAGCCUGCGUGUCUAAAAACAGGGUGCAGUAUUUAGAGACGGAGAACAAGAAUCUGGGGAACAAAGUUCUGCAUCUGUCCAACCAGAUUUCCACCAUGGAACGCAAGUUGCAGAACAUGCAGUUUAUGCAUUUUGCUGAGGAACUUCAGAAAAUGUCAACUCUCCACAGA